Danio rerio (zebrafish) is the source of this 379-nucleotide non-coding RNA. NCBI's taxonomy places the organism in Eukaryota, Metazoa, Chordata, Actinopteri, Cypriniformes, Danionidae. The record is from Ensembl.
UUGAUGGAAGCUCAUGGCAGCCAUCUGUAUCAGACAGAGACAACAUGCCCUACACCAAUUCUGUCAUUCAUGAGAUACAGAGUAUAGGAAAUAUAGGCCCAUUAAAUGUGUUUGGAAUCACAGUGAAACCACUCAGGAAAAUAUUUUAUUCCACAGGGCACUCUUGUUAUUGGCAGUUUGACAUCAGUGCUGUUUGAUGAGUCUGAGUGGGAGACGCCUCACUCUUUUAACCCGGGUCACUUCCUGGAUGCUGAGGGCAAAUUCAGGAGGAGAGAUGCCUUUUUACCUUUUUCUAUAGGAAAACUAGUGUGUCUUGGGGAGCAGUUGACGAGGAGGCUUCCUCUUCAUCUCCUCUCUGCUGCAGCGCUUCACUUUCUCU